Molecule: unclassified non-coding RNA, 237 nt
Filed under: Hevea brasiliensis (rubber tree)
Lineage: Eukaryota; Viridiplantae; Streptophyta; Magnoliopsida; Malpighiales; Euphorbiaceae
Source: RNAcentral
GGGACUUUCUUGUCUCUGUUGCGGUGUCCUCAGUCCUCUGUUCACUUGGAUUUCCAAAAGCAGGCAUAGAGAAAUCCGCCAAAAUCCCCAAACUAGCUAGUUUUAUUCCUUUGCCAUUAGAAUUUUAUCCACUCUCCUCUGCAUAUUUGUACUUCCAAACAAGCCUAAUCAAAUCAUGAUGUAGCAUUGGAUUGACAAUCAAAUUUUUUUAAUUGAAGAAGUAAAUCAGACGUUGGC